UAUUUAUAUAGUUUAAUAAAAACAUUACAUUUUCAUUGUAAAAUUAAUUAUAUAAUUUAUAAAU
This 64-nucleotide transfer RNA is filed under the name Staphylininae sp. 1 ACP-2013. RNAcentral describes it as "tRNA-Glu". Lineage: Eukaryota; Metazoa; Arthropoda; Insecta; Coleoptera; Staphylinidae. The record is from RNAcentral.